CCUACGGGUGGCAGCAGUGGGGAAUAUUGCACAAUGGGGGAAACCCUGAUGCAGCGACGCCGCGUGAGUGAAGAAGUAUUUCGGUAUGUAAAGCUCUGUCAGCAGGGAAGAAAAUGACGGUACCUGACCAAGAAGCCACGGCUAACUACGUGCCAGCAGCCGCGGUAAUACGUAGGGGGCAAGCGUUAUCCGGAUUUACUGGGUGUAAAGGGAGCGUAGGCGGGAGGGCAAGUCUGGAGUGAAAGGCGGGGGCUCAACCCCCGGACUGCCCUUGAAACUGGCAGGCUGGAGUGCAGGAGAGGUAGGUGGAAUUCGUAGUGUAGCGGUGAAAUGCGUAGAUAUUAGGAGGAACACCAGUGGCGAAGGCGGCUUACUGGACUGUAACUGACGUUGAGGCUCGAAAGCGUGGGGAGCAAACAGGAUUAGAUACCCCUGUAGUC
RNAcentral lists this ribosomal RNA (440 nucleotides) under uncultured bacterium. RNAcentral's name for it is "partial 16S ribosomal RNA". It matches the Rfam family "Bacterial small subunit ribosomal RNA", at positions 338 to 795 of the family's 1533-position model. The record is from RNAcentral.